CAGAACCGCACCGACUUUGCCCUCGCUGCCUAAUCUAGCGAGCAAGUCCGUCAGCCCAAGCAAUGCUCUGAGUUUGGUUCCUGGCGUCGUUUUAUGAGCCACUGGGUUGCCAUCGCGUUGGGAGGCGGUAACCGACACUUUCUCAACUGAGCCACCUAGUUGCAGGUUUGCAUGUUGCUAGUGGCUGAGAAACUUAUUGCAAACUGCGCCCGGAGAAGAAAUUGGGGUGGGUCGUUGGACCCGGGUUCAAUUCCCGGCAUCUCCACUA
RNAcentral lists this transfer-messenger RNA (268 nucleotides) under Actinomyces sp. S6-Spd3. It matches the Rfam family "transfer-messenger RNA", at positions 105 to 374 of the family's 374-position model. From Rfam's summary of the family: Bacterial tmRNA, also known as 10Sa RNA or SsrA, is named for its dual tRNA and mRNA-like properties. Its role is to liberate the mRNA from a stalled ribosome. Lineage: Bacteria; Bacillati; Actinomycetota; Actinomycetes; Actinomycetales; Actinomycetaceae. The record is from Rfam by way of RNAcentral.